CUGCCUGUGUCCUUGUUGACUGCACUUCACAGCUCAGACCCAGCAUUGUUUAAGCUAAGCCAUGGGCUGCUGUAGAUCUUCAAGAAUGUAUUAUUCAACAUUAUCCAGUUCUUCUGGCCAUCUGGACCAAUCGGGGAUGUCUCCUGCAUUGCCAGUUUCAGAAGCUUUUAAAAUAACCUGCUGCAUGACGUGAUUGGGCUGCAUUGAGCAUCUGUCUCUGCAGAUUUCCUGAGCGAGAUGUCCCAAAGCCUUCUGUGAAAAUACCUGUGCACUCAGGUAAACAUCCGUCUGCAGGGGUCUGUGUGGAUGCAUCAGCCGUUGUCAAGCGACGCACAGUGGGAGGGUAAUUGGGAGAGAGGCAUGGCAGUUAGCCUGACAUGUUCAAACAUACCCUAACCACUAUUUUUAUGGUUUCCCGUUACCAUGUCACCAAGCCCUCCGCAACAGAAAACUUACCACUGGCUGCACUUCUGCCCCUGACUCCUGGUCCUGGUUCUGAGAAAGGGAACACUUUAAGACCUGAACCCUAUGCCUGCCGCUUGCUGGCAAUCCAGGCCACUCAAGUGCAGAGGAAAGUGGAAGGGACCCAGGCAUGUCAUCAUCUGGUUCUGAAGAACAGGAGAGACAAGGGACCUCCUCCUCCACACAAGGUAUGUUAAGCCCUGGGGAAUGAUCAAUCACCUGGCACCUAAAGUGACAGCUUCAAUUAAAG
RNAcentral lists this long non-coding RNA (712 nucleotides) under Crocodylus porosus (Australian saltwater crocodile). RNAcentral's name for it is "lncRNA (ENSCPRG00005004349.1)". The record is from RNAcentral. Lineage: Eukaryota; Metazoa; Chordata; Crocodylia; Crocodylidae.